Molecule: ribosomal RNA, 546 nt
Filed under: Campylobacter coli
Lineage: Bacteria; Pseudomonadati; Campylobacterota; Epsilonproteobacteria; Campylobacterales; Campylobacteraceae
Description: partial 23S ribosomal RNA
Rfam family: Bacterial large subunit ribosomal RNA
Source: RNAcentral
AAAGUUAAGUAGUUUAAGUUGUGUGCAAGUGGUAGGAGAGCGUUCUAUUUGCGUCGAAGGUAUACCGGUAAGGAGUGCUGGAGCGAAUAGAAGUGAGCAUGCAGGCAUGAGUAGCGAUAAUUAAUGUGAGAAUCAUUAACGCCGUAAACCCAAGGUUUCCUACGCGAUGCUCGUCAUCGUAGGGUUAGUCGGGUCCUAAGUCGAGUCCGAAAGGGGUAGACGAUGGCAAAUUGGUUAAUAUUCCAAUACCAACAUUAGUGUGCGAUGGAAGGACGCUUAGGGCUAAGGGGGCUAGCGGAUGGAAGUGCUAGUCUAAGGUCGUAGGAGGUUAUACAGGCAAAUCCGUAUAACAAUACUCCGAGAACUGAAAGGCUUUUUGAAGUCUUCGGAUGGAUAGAAGAACCCCUGAUGCCGUCGAGCCAAGAAAAGUUUCUAAGUUUAGCUAAUGUUGCCCGUACCGUAAACCGACACAGGUGGGUGGGAUGAGUAUUCUAAGGCGCGUGGAAGAACUCUCUUUAAGGAACUCUGCAAAAUAGCACCGUAUCU